Molecule: non-coding RNA, 74 nt
Organism: Pseudocohnilembus persalinus
Lineage: Eukaryota; Ciliophora; Oligohymenophorea; Philasterida; Pseudocohnilembidae
Source: Rfam
UCCUGGUUAGCUCAUCUUGGUAGAGCAUGCGACUUUUAAUCGCAGGGCGCUGGGAUCGAGGCCCAGGUCGGGAG